GGUAUUAUGACAGUUAUUAUCAACUAGAUAAAUUAUGGUGUUUGUGGAUUUGGGCAAAGGUGGAUUAAAUUCAUCUAAAAUUAGUAACUUUAUAAUUUUCUUCCCUGCUGUGUGUGUGAAACGGAGCAACCGUUGUCUUUCUGGUCAACAGAAAAAUGAAGUGCGCAUGUCCAUGUAUUUUUUUUUUUUUUUUUUUUUAUCUUGUCUCUGGAAUUUUCCACUGCCAAAAUAAAUGUUUUGCGCGGCAGUUUUCCCGCUGUUAGACCAAUGUGCACUUAUCUGUGUUUUGCCAGUACAUUAAUGUUGGUUAUAACUAGACAGUCCAAAGUAAUUGCAGUGAUUUGUAUCUGUAGGAUAUACGUUUGUAAUUAUUGUCUUUUAAUCGUCAUCUGCCUUGUGCCACAGCCACUGAUGUAGAAGGGACUGUGAUGCUACCAAGCACCCCUCGCUUGAUUGUUCAAGGUGACAUAAUGAAACCAAGGGCAUGGAUGCUGUCGUUGGAGGGUCAAGUGGUCAUGGGACCUCACCUUGACUUUACAACUGGUCUGGCUGCUAUUUUUUCCAGCUACUACAAUUUUAACUUGAAGUAUGCUGAAGAUGCUGCUUGUACUCUGGAAUUUAUCCAAAGGUGCUUCUUGGGCAUCAACCCAGAGACAGGCACAAAAUCUAAGAGGCAGAGAGGUCACAUGAACCAGCAAGUCUGCACUCUUAUCAGGAAGCUCAUUGACUUCGAAUGGAUGUCAAUCUAAUUGGAUAGAACCCACACUAUGCAGGUGCCAGCUGCGAUGGAAGGAGCGAGACACCUGCGACCCUCUCUAUUCCCACCUUUUUGUCUUUUCUUACAUCUCUCUCCCUCACUCUCUCUUCUCUGUCUCCUUCUUUCUCUUUUGACACACGUUCCUGUUACCCAGUGUCAAUCCCUGUUGCCCAGUGUUUUAUUCAUGUAAUUAAAUUGUAUUUUACUUCUAAAAAAUAAAAGUUAUGUCACUGUUUUUA
This is a long non-coding RNA of Megalobrama amblycephala (Wuchang bream), 996 nucleotides long. RefSeq lists it as uncharacterized. The record is from RefSeq and is a predicted model, not a curated record. NCBI's taxonomy places the organism in Eukaryota, Metazoa, Chordata, Actinopteri, Cypriniformes, Xenocyprididae. The transcript has 5 exons.